CCUACGGGUGGCAGCAGUGAGGAAUAUUGGUCAAUGGGCGGGAGCCUGAACCAGCCAAGCCGCGUGAGGGAGGAAGGUACAGCGUAUCGUAAACCUCUUUUGUCAGGGAACAAAGGCGGGGACGAGUCCCCGGAUGAGGGUCCCUGAAGAAGAAGCAUCGGCUAACUCCGUGCCAGCAGCCGCGGUAAUACGGAGGAUCCGAGCGUUAUCCGGAUGUAUUGGGUUAAAGGGGUGCGCAGGCGGUCUGUUAGGUAAGCGGUAAAAGCCCGGGGCUCAACCCCGGCCUGCCGUUGAAACUGGCUGGCUGGAGUGGGAGAGAGGUACGCGGAAUGCGCGGUGUAGCGGUGAAAUGCUUAGAUAUCGCGCAGAACUCCGAUUGCGAAGGCAGCGUACCGGCUCCACACUGACGCUGAGGCACGAAAGCGUGGGUAUCGAACAGGAUUAGAUACCCGAGUAGUC
RNAcentral lists this ribosomal RNA (459 nucleotides) under uncultured bacterium. RNAcentral's name for it is "partial 16S ribosomal RNA". It matches the Rfam family "Bacterial small subunit ribosomal RNA", at positions 338 to 795 of the family's 1533-position model. The record is from RNAcentral.